Molecule: ribosomal RNA, 494 nt
Filed under: uncultured bacterium
Lineage: Bacteria
Description: partial 16S ribosomal RNA
Rfam family: Bacterial small subunit ribosomal RNA
Source: RNAcentral
GACGAACGCUGGCGGCGUGCUUAACACAUGCAAGUCGAACGGUGAAGCGCCUUCCUUUUUGGUGGGUGUGGAUGAGUGGCGAACGGGUGAGUAACACGUGAGUAACCUGCCCCCUUCUUCUGGAUAACCGCAUGAAAGUGUGGCUAAUACGGGAUAUUCUGGGUCUGUCGCAUGAUGGGUCUGGGAAAGAUAUUGUUUCGGUGGGGGAUGGGCUCGCGGCCUAUCAGCUUGUUGGUGGGGUGAUGGCCUACCAAGGCGGUGACGGGUAGCCGGCCUGAGAGGGUGGACGGUCCCACUGGGACUGCGCCACGGCCCAGACUCCUACGGGAGGCAGCAGUGGGGAAUAUUGCACAAUGGGCGCCAGCCUGAUGCAGCGACGCCGCGUGAGGGAUGGAGGCCUGCGGGUUGUGAACCUCUUUCGCCAGUGAAGCAGGCCUGCCUCGUUUGUGGGUGGGUUGACGGUAGCUGGAUAAGAAGCGCCGGCUAACUACGUG